This 72-nucleotide transfer RNA is filed under the name Heterocephalus glaber (naked mole-rat). It matches the Rfam family "tRNA". From Rfam's summary of the family: Transfer RNA (tRNA) molecules are approximately 80 nucleotides in length. Their secondary structure includes four short double-helical elements and three loops (D, anti-codon, and T loops). The record is from Rfam by way of RNAcentral. Lineage: Eukaryota; Metazoa; Chordata; Mammalia; Rodentia; Bathyergidae.
UGGAGUGUACCUCAGUGGUAGAGCUCUUGCCUAGAAUUCAUGAGGUCCUGGGUUCAGUCCCCAGCACUACAC